This 643-nucleotide unclassified non-coding RNA is filed under the name Hevea brasiliensis (rubber tree). The record is from RNAcentral. Lineage: Eukaryota; Viridiplantae; Streptophyta; Magnoliopsida; Malpighiales; Euphorbiaceae.
GUAUGUAAAAAGCCCGGCGCGGAAUCCACGAGUUUCGUGUUUUUGAUUUCCUUAUUCCGGUGCGAUCUUCAUCAUUUUCCGGUGAAAAAGAUCUCCACUUUUGCUCUCAAAAUCCUACAAAAACCCUUGUCAACUUGUGUGUAAGACGAAGUUUUCUGGUUCUACAAUGCUCGAAUGGCUCAGUACAGACAAUCGGGUGCUAUAGGUAUUAUAAACAAUGGUGGUGGUGGUGGUGGAGUUGUUCGGAACGGAGUUGCAUCGGAUCAUGUAUCGGUUGGGAUUCGUUCGAGUAAACAGCAGCAGCAGCAGCAAUCGCGGAAUUAUCACCGUCGAUUGAAGUCUACUACUCGCAAGAUCUCGAUUGGUGCUAUCAUCGUUAUUCUAUUCGUUGCUUUUGUUGUUUCCGUCUCUGCUUUCUUCUAUUUCACAUCUCAAAAUAAAGAGUUAGAUAAUAAUCACUUUCAAGAUGAUGGUGAUGUGGAAAAUGAUUCAGAUUUUCUUACAAAUGUGACACGGACACAAGGGAAGGUUCUCCAAUUUGGACAUGGGUCAGUAAAUCAUGGCCGGGAUUCUCGUUAUUGGGAUAAGGAUGACCGGAGAAGGGAUGAUGAUUACAACGAGGAGGAUUUGGAGCGGAAUCAAG